This 277-nucleotide long non-coding RNA is filed under the name Elaeis guineensis (African oil palm). Its description in RNAcentral is "long non-coding RNA (EGUI_LNC050748)". The record is from RNAcentral. Lineage: Eukaryota; Viridiplantae; Streptophyta; Magnoliopsida; Arecales; Arecaceae.
GUCCCACUAAUGCCUCGAUGGAGGAGGAGGCGAAGGGGGGAGGGGGCCGAGCGGAGGUGGAGGAGGCAGAGGGGGGAGGGAGUCGAGCAAAGGAGGAGGUGGAGAGAGGAUGUCCCAAAUGGUGGAGAAGGAGGCAAAGGAGGUCGAGCAAAGGAGGAGGAGGUAGAGGGAGGAUGUCCCGAAUGGUGGAGGAGGAGGAGGCGGAGGGAGAAGAGGGUCGAGUGGAGGAAGAGGAGGCAGAGGGAGGUCCCGAAUGGUAGAGAAGGAGGUAGAGGGG